GUGCUCGCUUCACCAGCACAUAUACUAAAAUUGGAAUGAUACAGAGAAAAUUAGCAUGGCCUCUGUGCAAGAAUGAUACAUAAAUUUGUGAAGCAUUCCAUAUUUUA
Molecule: small nuclear RNA, 107 nt
Organism: Octodon degus (degu)
Lineage: Eukaryota; Metazoa; Chordata; Mammalia; Rodentia; Octodontidae
Source: Ensembl